This 585-nucleotide ribosomal RNA is filed under the name uncultured bacterium. RNAcentral's name for it is "partial 16S ribosomal RNA". It matches the Rfam family "Bacterial small subunit ribosomal RNA", at positions 355 to 1375 of the family's 1533-position model. The record is from RNAcentral.
UGGGGAAUUUUGGACAAUGGGCGAAAGCCUGAUCCAGCAAUGCCGCGUGUGUGAAGAAGGCCUUCGGGUUGUAAAGCACUUUUGUCCGGAAAGAAAUCCUUGGCUCUAAUACAGUCGGGGGAUGACGGUACCGGAAGAAUAAGCACCGGCUAACUACGUGCCAGCAGCCGCGGUAAUACGUAGGGUGCAAGCGUUAAUCGGAAUUACUGGGCGUAAAGCGUGCGCAGGCGGUUUGCUAAGACCGAUGUGAAAUCCCCGGGCUCAACCUGGGAACUGCAUUGGUGACUGGCAGGCUAGAGUAUGGCAGAGGGGGGUAGAAUUCCACGUGUAGCAGUGAAAUGCGUAGAGAUGUGGAGGAAUACCGAUGGCGAAGGCAGCCCCCUGGGCCAAUACUGACGCUCAUGCACGAAAGCGUGGGGAGCAAACAGGAUUAGAUACCCUGGUAGUCCACGCCCUAAAACGAUGUCGACUAGUUGUUGGGGAUUCAUUUCCUUAGUACGUAGCUAACGCGUGAAGUUGACCGCCUGGGGAGUACGGUCGCAAGAUUAAAACUUAAAUGAAUUGACGGGGUCAUAGCUGUUUCCU